Molecule: long non-coding RNA, 2299 nt
Organism: Oncorhynchus tshawytscha (Chinook salmon)
Lineage: Eukaryota; Metazoa; Chordata; Actinopteri; Salmoniformes; Salmonidae
Source: Ensembl
GAGGAGAGGAGAGAGAGAGAGGAGAGAGGAGAGGAGAGGAGAGGAGAGGAGGAGAAUCCCAGGUAGAGGGCAGGACACUGGAGGCUGAGGAGGAGAGGAGAGGAGGAGGGAGGAGAGCUCUGGGGCCAUCCCAGGUAGAGGGCAGGAUACUGGAGGCUGAGGAGGAGAUGAGAGGGGGAGAAGCGGAGAGGAGAGGAGGAGAGGAGAAGAGGAGAGGAGGAGAGCUCUGGUGCUAUCCCAGGUAGAGGGCAGGAUACUGGAGGCUGAGGAGGAGAGGAGAGGGGGAGAAGCGGAGAGGAGAGGAGGAGAGGAGAAGAGGAGAAGAUGAGAGGAGGAGAGCUCUGGUGCUAUCCCAGGUAGAGGGCAGGAUACUGGAGGCUGAGGAGGAGAGGAGAGGAGGAGAGCUCUGGGGCCAUCCCAGGUAGAGGGCAGGAUACUGGAGGCUGAGGAGGAGAUGAGAGGGAGAAGCGGAGAGGAGGAGAAGAGGAGAGGAGAAGAGGAGAGGAGGAGAGCUCUGGUGCUAUCCCAGGUAGAGGGAAGGACACUGGAGGCUGAGGAGGAGAGGAGAGGAGGGAGGAGGAGAGCUCUGCUGCUAUCCCAGGUAGAGGGCAGGAUACUGGAGGCUGAGGAGGAGAGGAGAGGAGGAGAGCUCUGCUGCUAUCCCAGGCAGAGGGCAGGAUACUGGAGGCUGAGGAGGAGAGGAGAGGAGAGGAGGAGAGCUCUGCUGCUAUCCGAGGUAGAGGGCAGGAUACUGGAGGCUGAGGAGGAGAGGAGAGGAGAGGAGGAGAGCUCUGCUGCCAUCCCAGGUAGAGGGCAGGAUACUGGAUGCUUGCAUGAAGCAGGAAUAUGGUGCAAUGCUGUGUCCCAAAACUAGCUGGACCCCUGCCUGCUUCUCUAUCUGUGGUGUCAUUUACUGUAUGAAGCUUUGGUCUGCAUGUCACGGAGACACUCAUCCUAUAAUAGAGGUCAUGGAGACACUCAUCCCAUCAUAGAGGUCAUGGAGACACUCAUCCCAUAAUAGAGGUCACGGAGACACUCAUCCCAUAAUAGAGGUCACGGAGACACUCAUCCCAUAAUAGAGGUCAUGGAGACACUCAUCCCAUCAUAGAGGUCAUGGAGACACUCAUCCCAUAAUAGAGGUCACGGAGACACUCAUCCCAUAAUAGAGGUCACGGAGACACUCAUCCCAUAAGAGGUCACGGAGACACUCAUCCCAUAAUACAGGUUGCCUUUGACAACAGUCUCUCUUGCCAUACAUUCAUUUACAGAGAACAAUAUUUCCCCUUUGUGUGAUUAUUACUAAAUGUAAUGACGUGAAAUGUCCCCCAGCCUGUCUGUCCCAGCGAGGUAUAGAGGGAGAUCUGCUGCUGUUUACACUGCCUUCACAAUCCACGGGUCAAAUCCCUCCCCAAGCGCUACUUUCCCCCCACCCUAUUGUUCCUAUAGAUAGUCCUUCAGGAGAACAGCCCGGUGGGUUGGGGGAUAUUGUUAGGUUGAAGAUACCCAGGUUAGGACAACAGGGAAAUAACAUCCCACAACUCAGACUGUUAGAGGGUUAGAGGCUAGGAGGCAACAAGUUAUACAGGAAGGAGUUGUCUUGUUUGAGGGCGGGUUAGAGGCCAGAGGAGGCUUCCAGAGGAGGCUACACAGGAAGGUGAUGUCUUGUUUAAAGCAUUGUUAAAGUCUCAGACAGGAGAUAUCUGUUAGGAAACAGUGUUUUCAACCUGAAUGGGUAACAGAGGAGAGGCAGAGAGCAGUGUGCUGAGGGUGGAGAGGGGUAGAGAGGGGUAGAGAGGGGAGGCAGGGGGUAGAGAGGGGAGGCAGGGGGUAGAGAGGGGUAGAGAGGGGAGGCAGGGGGUAGAGAAGGAGGUAGAGAGGGGAGGCAGAGGGGGUAGAGAGGGGAGGCAGGGGGUAGAGAGGGGUAGAGAAGGGGGUAGAGAGGGGAGGCAGGGGGUAGAGAGGGGAGGCAGGGGGUAGAGAGGGGUAGAGAAGGGGGUAGAGAGGGGAGGCAGGGGGUAGAGAGAGGUAGAGAAGGUGGUAGAGAGGGGAGGCAGGGAGUAGAGAGAGGUAGAGAAGGGGGUAGAGAGGGGUAGAGAAGGGGAGGCAGGGGAUAGAGAGGGGUAGAGAGGGGUAGAGAGGGGAGGCAGGGGGUAGAGAGAGGUAGAGAAGGGUAGAGAGGGGAGGCAAGGGGUAGAGAGGGGUAGAGAAGGGGGUAGAGAGGGGAGGCAGGGGGUAGAGAGGGGUAGAGAAGGGUAGAGAAGGGGAGACAGGGGAUAGAGAGGGGUAGAGAAGGGUAGAG